UUUCCGUAGGUGAACCUGCGGAAGGAUCAUUAUUGUAUAACCGAGGUGCGAGGGCUGUCGCUGACCCGACAGGUCGUGCACGCCCGAGGGCCCUCACACACAUCCAUCUCACCCCUAUGUCCACCACCGCGUGGGUCCCCCUUUGGCUUGUUCGGCGGGGGGCUUACGUUUGCACACAAACUUUGUAUGCAGUGUAGAAUGUAUUUUUUGUUUUUGCGAUCACGCAAUCAAUACAACUUUCAACAACGGAUCUCUUGGCUCUC
Molecule: unclassified non-coding RNA, 263 nt
Filed under: plant metagenome
Description: partial contains small subunit ribosomal RNA, internal transcribed spacer 1, and 5.8S ribosomal RNA
Source: RNAcentral